Molecule: long non-coding RNA, 204 nt
Filed under: Mustela putorius furo (domestic ferret)
Lineage: Eukaryota; Metazoa; Chordata; Mammalia; Carnivora; Mustelidae
Description: lncRNA (ENSMPUG00000028274.1)
Source: RNAcentral
AGCUUUUAGAUCUUCAACCAGACACCUGCCAGAAGUACCUUUAACAUGCAAACUAGCCAAGGGAGUUUGCCUGCUUCUAGUCACCAUCAAAGCAGAGAACCUGAAGAAAGAUUACGCACAUCCUCCUGGCACUGCCCCUGAGCUAUCCCUAAUGAAGAGGCAGGAAAACCAGGAGUUAUUAGGAGGGAAAACAACUAUAUCCAA